GAAGUUGCUGGGAAGGCUUCUCCAUCAGCUUGGAUGAAUAAAGUUUUGAAGCCCUUGGAGCCUCCUGCAGAUGUAUCUACAGGGAGGACUUCUCCAGCUUCUCCAGCUCCUACCUUGGAUGCUAUACGCAAGCCCAGCUCCCAUCACAGUGGUACUCCAACAGGGAAAGUCCAAGAUACAACAGAUAAGAUGUCCCUGCAACCUUCCAAACAGAUGAGGCAAGAGCUGAAGGAACCCCUGCAGACAAGAGAAGGUGG
Long non-coding RNA from Passer domesticus (house sparrow), 257 nucleotides. RefSeq lists it as uncharacterized. NCBI's taxonomy places the organism in Eukaryota, Metazoa, Chordata, Aves, Passeriformes, Passeridae. The transcript is spliced from 3 exons. The record is from RefSeq and is a predicted model, not a curated record.